CGAACGCUGGCGGCGUGCUUAACACAUGCAAGUCGAACGGAAAGGCCCUGCUUUUGUGGGGUGCUCGAGUGGCGAACGGGUGAGUAACACGUGAGUAACCUGCCCUUGACUUUGGGAUAACUUCAGGAAACUGGGGCUAAUACCGGAUAGGAGCUCCUGCUGCAUGGUGGGGGUUGGAAAGUUUCGGCGGUUGGGGAUGGACUCGCGGCUUAUCAGCUUGUUGGUGGGGUAGUGGCUUACCAAGGCUUUGACGGGUAGCCGGCCUGGGAGGGUGACCGGCCACAUUGGGACUGAGAUACGGCCCAGACUCCUACGGGAGGCAGCAGUGGGGAAUAUUGCACAAUGGGCGGAAGCCUGAUGCAGCAACGCCGCGUGCGGGAUGACGGCCUUCGGGUUGUAAACCGCUUUCGCCUGUGACGAAGCGUGAGUGACGGUAAUGGGUAAAGAAGCACCGGCUAACUACGU
This 465-nucleotide ribosomal RNA is filed under the name uncultured bacterium. RNAcentral's name for it is "partial 16S ribosomal RNA". It matches the Rfam family "Bacterial small subunit ribosomal RNA", at positions 30 to 506 of the family's 1533-position model. The record is from RNAcentral.